This 737-nucleotide ribosomal RNA is filed under the name Candidatus Omnitrophota bacterium. RNAcentral's name for it is "bacterial SSU rRNA". It matches the Rfam family "Bacterial small subunit ribosomal RNA", at positions 817 to 1533 of the family's 1533-position model. The record is from RNAcentral. Lineage: Bacteria; Pseudomonadati; Candidatus Omnitrophota.
UAGCUAUUGGUAGUAUCGACCCUAUCAGUGGCGAAGCUUACGCAUUAAGCACCCCGCCUGGGAAGUACGGCCGCAAGGUUGAAACUCAAAGGAAUAGACGGGAACUCGCACAAGCGGUGGAACAUGAGGUUUAAUUCGACAACAAACGAAGAACCUUACCAGGGCUUGAAAUGUUAGGGAAAUCUCGGCGAAAGUCGAGACCUCCGCAAGGACCCUAGCACAGGUGCUGCAUGGUUGCCGUCAGCUCGUGGCGCGAGUUGUUCCCUUCAGUGGGUAAACGAGCGCAACCCUCGUCCUGUGUUAUAUGUGUCACAGGAGACCGCCCCGCACUCAGUACAGGAAUUUUAAAUAAAUUCACUGUUCGUGUCCUGAGUGCGGGGAGGAAGGUGAGGAUGACGUCAAAUCAGCAUGGCCCUUUGAUGCCCUGGGCCACACUCAUGUUACAAUGGAUAGGACAACGCGUUGCUAAACCGUAAGGCGGAGCUAAUCGCAUCAAACCUAUCCCUAGUUCGGAUUGAGGGCUGCAACUCGCCCUCAUGAAGCCGGAAUCGCUAGUAAUCGCGGGUCAGCUAUACCGCGGUGAAUACGUUCUCGAGUUCUGUACUCACCGCCUGUCAAGUCAAGGAAGCCGAGAAUAGCCGAAGGUCCGUUUUUUCGGAAUUAAGCUAGGCUCGGUGACAGGGGCUAAGUCAUAACAAGGCACUCCUAGCGGAAGCUGGGGGUGAAACUUUUAUUUA